Molecule: ribosomal RNA, 199 nt
Filed under: uncultured bacterium
Lineage: Bacteria
Description: partial 16S ribosomal RNA
Rfam family: Bacterial small subunit ribosomal RNA
Source: RNAcentral
ACGCUCGACACCUACUGGAGGCAGCAGUGGGGGAAUAUUGCACAAUGGGGGAAACCCUGAUGCAGCAACGCCGCGUGAAGGAAGACGGUUUUCGGAUUGUAAACUUCUGUUCUUAGUGAAGAUAGUGACGGUAGCUAAGGAGCAAGCCACGGCUAACUACGUGCCAACAGCCGCGGUAAUCUGAGCGGGCUGGCAAGGC